CGAGGAGUGUGUUAACGGGGUGUGUGUUAACGGGGUGUGUGUUAACGAGGCGUGUGUUAACGAGGUGUGUUGGCGAGAUGUGUGUUAACGAGGAGUGUGUUAACGAAGUGUGUGUUAACGGGGUGUGUUGGCGAGAUGUGUGUUAACGAGGAGUGUGUUAACGAGGUUUGUGUUAACCGUGUGUUAACGAGGUGUGUUGGCGAGAUGUGUGUUAAUGAGGAGUGUGUUAACGAGGAGUGUGUUAACGGGGUGUGUGUUAACGAGGUGUGUGUUAACGGGGUGUGUGUUAACGGGGUGCGUGUUAACGAGGUGUAAGCCCCACCUUGCCCGGAGAGCUCGAUGCCGUCGUUGAUGGCGUUGUUCUCUCUGUAAGGUACGGCUUU
Long non-coding RNA from Pangasianodon hypophthalmus (striped catfish), 383 nucleotides. RefSeq lists it as uncharacterized. The record is from RefSeq and is a predicted model, not a curated record. NCBI's taxonomy places the organism in Eukaryota, Metazoa, Chordata, Actinopteri, Siluriformes, Pangasiidae. The transcript is spliced from 3 exons.